RNAcentral lists this transfer RNA (67 nucleotides) under Marmota monax (woodchuck). Its description in RNAcentral is "tRNA.Ala". The record is from RNAcentral. Lineage: Eukaryota; Metazoa; Chordata; Mammalia; Rodentia; Sciuridae.
GGUUAUGGCUCAGUGGUAGGGCGCUGGCUUAGCACGUGGGAGGCCCUGGGUUUGAUCCUCAGCACCA